Molecule: long non-coding RNA, 517 nt
Organism: Magnolia sinica
Lineage: Eukaryota; Viridiplantae; Streptophyta; Magnoliopsida; Magnoliales; Magnoliaceae
Exons: 3
Source: RefSeq, a predicted model, not a curated record
UUCAAACGAGGGAUUUCCAAACGCACGGCUGUUCCUCUUUCGAACGGGCGAUCUACCUUGCCAGAGCUCUUCCCUCAUUCGAACGACGCAAUCUUCCUCGCCAGAGCUCUGAAUCCUUGAAGAUUCAUCUCAAAUAGGAAUAUAAUCCUAUUUGUUAGAAGUCUACUUCUCUUGCUACAGAUAAGAACCUGCCAAAUCAGGUUGUAUACAAUGGACUCCAGGGAGUGGAUUACUCUACAUUACUUGGUGAAAUGCAUGGAAUUGACCGUGAAGUGAAUGGAAUUGACCGUGAAAUGCAUGGAAUUGACUGUGAAGUGAAGGGAAUUGACCGUGAAAUGAAUGAAAUUGACCGCAAACUGAUUGAAAUUGACCGCGAAGUGAAUGAAAUGGAUUUUCAACCAUCGACCUGAUGGAAUCUUCGAAAAUAACCAGGUUGGUUGGCUAAAGUAGCUUCUCCUACCUCAAAAUCAUAUAUGGUACGUCAAGUAACUCAUUUUGGUUUAGAAGAUAUGCUUGU